RNAcentral lists this ribosomal RNA (429 nucleotides) under Bacillota bacterium. RNAcentral's name for it is "Firmicutes bacterium partial 16S ribosomal RNA". It matches the Rfam family "Bacterial small subunit ribosomal RNA", at positions 355 to 776 of the family's 1533-position model. The record is from RNAcentral. Lineage: Bacteria; Bacillati; Bacillota.
UAGGGAAUCUUCGGCAAUGGACGGAAGUCUGACCGAGCAACGCCGCGCGAGUGAAGAAGGUUUUCGGAUCGUAAAGCUCUGUUGUUAGUGAAGAACGUUGGUAGGAGUGGAAAAUCUACCAAGUGACGGUAACUAACCAGAAAGGGACGGCUAACUACGUGCCAGCAGCCGCGGUAAUACGUAGGUCCCGAGCGUUGUCCGGAUUUAUUGGGCGUAAAGCGCGCGCAGGCGGUUCUUUAAGUCUGAAGUUAAAGGCAGUGGCUUAACCAUUGUACGCUUUGGAAACUGGAGGACUUGAGUGCGGAAGGGGAGAGUGGAAUUCCAUGUGUAGCGGUGAAAUGCGUAGAUAUAUGGAGGAACACCGGUGGCGAAAGCGGCUCUCUGGUCUGUAACUGACGCUGAGGCUCGAAAGCGUGGGGAGCAAACAGG